AGGCCUAUCUGAAGUCUGUGAAACCUCUGACAGCAAAGAGGUCUAAGGCUACUCUCCCAUCUCCCGAUGAAUUUGUGAAGUUAUGUGGCAGCAAGCUUGAAAGUGGAGUAUUAAAGGAAUGGAACAUCAACACAUGGAGAAGGCAAACAAGGCUUCAGGGCUGGGCUGCAAACAGGGCUUCAAGUGGGAAAGGGCCUGUGGCAAAGGGCUGAAUUGGGCCAGCUACCAACUUGGCAAGACGACAUCUGGUACGCAAUAGCUGCAGCCAUCCAAGUCUGCUGACCAACUCAAAUCCCUCAGUCUGGAUUAUGACCCCUGACAUACUGUUAAGUCAAGAUAUGCACUUCACUGAAGCGAGAUUGCUUC
Ictalurus punctatus (channel catfish) is the source of this 366-nucleotide long non-coding RNA. The record is from Ensembl. NCBI's taxonomy places the organism in Eukaryota, Metazoa, Chordata, Actinopteri, Siluriformes, Ictaluridae.